UAUUGGACAAUGGGCGAAAGCCUGAUCCAGCCAUGCCGCGUGUGUGAAGAAGGUCUUCGGAUUGUAAAGCACUUUAAGUUGGGAGGAAGGGCAUUAACCUAAUACGUUAGUGUUUUGACGUUACCGACAGAAUAAGCACCGGCUAACUCUGUGCCAGCAGCCGCGGUAAUACAGAGGGUGCAAGCGUUAAUCGGAAUUACUGGGCGUAAAGCGCGCGUAGGUGGUUUGUUAAGUUGGAUGUGAAAUCCCCGGGCUCAACCUGGGAACCGCAUUCAAAACUGACUGACUAGAGUAUGGUAGAGGGUGGUGGAAUUUCCUGUGUAGCGGUGAAAUGCGUAGAUAUAGGAAGGAACACCAGUGGCGAAGGCGACCACCUGGACUAAUACUGACACUGAGUGCGAA
RNAcentral lists this ribosomal RNA (402 nucleotides) under uncultured bacterium. RNAcentral's name for it is "bacterial SSU rRNA". It matches the Rfam family "Bacterial small subunit ribosomal RNA", at positions 362 to 757 of the family's 1533-position model. The record is from RNAcentral.